RNAcentral lists this non-coding RNA (45 nucleotides) under Schistosoma mattheei. The record is from RNAcentral. Lineage: Eukaryota; Metazoa; Platyhelminthes; Trematoda; Strigeidida; Schistosomatidae.
AUCCAGCUGACGAGUCCAGCAUAGGACGAAACGCGCAUCCUGAAU